CACCCUAAAACCGCCAAGUGCAUAAAUUAUUCAAAAAUGUUUCUUCCCCCGAAAAUUCAUGCAGUUGACGUAAACUCGGGGAUUCCCCGCGCCCUUUUCCGUAACUGAUGUCUCUGAGGACACUUUAUCAUGGCUCGCGAGGCUCAAACAAUUGUUGCAAAUGGAGCUCAGCGGCUAAGUGGUUUUAUUUUAAAUCUUUCACGUUUAGCACGGAGUCGAAAAAAAUGGAAGCGCGGAAAUCUGCUGCCUUGUGACAACAAGUUGCUUUUGAAAACUCAGCAGUCGCGACAAGUUCUCAAUUGUUUGGCGAAUGUCAGUCUUCAUUUGUCAGCUACAUCCAAAGUUAGGGCUUAAGUGGCUUCGUUGUUGGGCGGAGGACACAGAUAUAUGACUCAAGCCUGGAAUCAAUAAAAUCCCGUGGCACAUGAAUUCAAACACGUAAGCCCCAAAACAAAAGCCUGCAAAUGUGCAUGGCAUCUACAAAAAGGCCAAAACAACAGAGUCCAAAAGCGAACGAAAGUGAAUUUCACGCCAUUGGCCAAAACGAUUUUCCGGCAGGAAGGCAUCAAUCAGAUCGGAAAAUACUUCGUUCUGCUUACUUAUUUAUGCGUCCCCGGCGUAUGCGUAAUAUUUCAGCGGUUUAUUACAAGCUCAUUGAAUUCGCAUAGUUGCACAGUUUCAGCUCCCUUAAUAGGAAUAUUUAUUCAGUCUAAUUUAUU
Non-coding RNA from Drosophila takahashii, 719 nucleotides. Lineage: Eukaryota; Metazoa; Arthropoda; Insecta; Diptera; Drosophilidae. The record is from RefSeq and is a predicted model, not a curated record.